Mycena leptocephala is the source of this 91-nucleotide non-coding RNA. NCBI's taxonomy places the organism in Eukaryota, Fungi, Basidiomycota, Agaricomycetes, Agaricales, Mycenaceae. The record is from the annotation of a GenBank genome assembly.
GACUCGGUGGUGGAAGGUCCACGUCCACGACAUGUGGGGGACUUCAAUUAAGUGAACGUGGAAGUCGCCUGUUCGAAUCAGGUCCGAGUCG